CGGGACGUGGCGCAGCCUGGUAGCGCACUUGAAUGGGGUUCAAGGGGUCCCGGGUUCAAAUCCCGGCGUCCCGA
Molecule: transfer RNA, 74 nt
Filed under: Thermoanaerobaculum aquaticum
Lineage: Bacteria; Pseudomonadati; Acidobacteriota; Thermoanaerobaculia; Thermoanaerobaculales; Thermoanaerobaculaceae
Rfam family: tRNA
About the family: Transfer RNA (tRNA) molecules are approximately 80 nucleotides in length.
Source: Rfam by way of RNAcentral